UGACUCAGUUGGUAGAGCACGGCGCUUGCAAUGCCAGGGUUGUGGGUUCAAUUCCCAC
Molecule: transfer RNA, 58 nt
Filed under: Salmo salar (Atlantic salmon)
Lineage: Eukaryota; Metazoa; Chordata; Actinopteri; Salmoniformes; Salmonidae
Also listed under: 1 other name
Rfam family: tRNA
About the family: Transfer RNA (tRNA) molecules are approximately 80 nucleotides in length. Their secondary structure includes four short double-helical elements and three loops (D, anti-codon, and T loops).
Source: Rfam by way of RNAcentral